Molecule: ribosomal RNA, 433 nt
Filed under: uncultured bacterium
Lineage: Bacteria
Description: partial 16S ribosomal RNA
Rfam family: Bacterial small subunit ribosomal RNA
Source: RNAcentral
AACGAACGCUGGCGGCAUGCCUAACACAUGCAAGUCGAACGAAACCUUCGGGUUUUUUGGCGCACGUCUACGUAACGCGUGGUAACCUGCACUUGGGUUCCGAAUACCUCCCCGAGGGGGAUCCUAAUGCCGCAUAAUCUCUUCGCGCCAAAGAUUUAUCGCCUUUGGUUGGGCCCUCGUUGGAUUCGCUGGUUGGUAGGGUAAAAGCAUACCAAGGCGAAGUUGCAGAGCUGGUAUGAGAGGAUGAUUAACCACACUGGAAAUGAGACACGGCCCAGACUGGGACGGGAGGGAGCAGAGGGGAAUAGUGGAGAAGGGGCGAAAGUCUGAGAAAGCAGUGUCGGGUAAGUGAUGAAGGGAGUAGGGUUGUAAAGUCGUUUUACACGGGAUGAGAGUGACAGUAACGGGUGAAGAAGCACCGGCUAACUACGUG